This is a microRNA precursor of Medicago truncatula (barrel medic), 141 nucleotides long. It matches the Rfam family "mir-172 microRNA precursor family". From Rfam's summary of the family: mir-172 has been experimentally verified in Arabidopsis thaliana. This family is thought to target mRNAs coding for APETALA2-like transcription factors. The mature sequence is excised from the 3' arm of the hairpin. NCBI's taxonomy places the organism in Eukaryota, Viridiplantae, Streptophyta, Magnoliopsida, Fabales, Fabaceae. The record is from Rfam.
UUAUUUGCAGAUGUAGCAUCAUCAAGAUUCACAUAUGAAAGUGCAAAUGGUUUUGUUGGAUUUUGAUCUGAUCGAUGCAAAUCUAAGUUCUCCAUAGGUCUUUUGAACUGAGAAUCUUGAUGAUGCUGCAUCAGCCAUAAA